AGGUACAAAAUUCAGUCACGUUAAGCAACUAUAUGAAAAGCAAGAACUUUAUGAUCAUGAAGUUUUACCUUCGGUUGGGGCGACCACGGAGGAAAAGCAAGCCUCCGAGUGGACUGGGCCAAACCCUAAAGCUAAAAAGGACAUCUUUAAGCCGCAGAACAUCUGACCAAUAGUGAUCCGGCUAAAAAGCCGAUCAACGGACCAAGUUACCCUAGGGAUAACAGCGCAAUCCUCUCCCAGAGCCCAUAUCGACGAGUGGGUUUACGACCUCGAUGUUGGAUCAGGACAUCCUGGUGGUGCAGCCGCUAUUAA
RNAcentral lists this ribosomal RNA (312 nucleotides) under Notropis heterodon (blackchin shiner). Its description in RNAcentral is "partial 16S ribosomal RNA". It matches the Rfam family "Bacterial large subunit ribosomal RNA", at positions 2193 to 2568 of the family's 2925-position model. The record is from RNAcentral. Lineage: Eukaryota; Metazoa; Chordata; Actinopteri; Cypriniformes; Leuciscidae.